CACGUAGGGGACGAGCGUUGUCCGGAUUCAUUGGGCGUAAAGCGCGCGUAGGCGGCCCGGUAAGUCCGUUGUGAAAGUCAAAGGCUCAACCUUUGAACGCCGAUGGAUACGGCCGGGCUAGAGUCCGGAAGAGGAGUGUGGAAUUCCUGGUGUAGCGGUGAAAUGCGCAGAUAUCAGGAAGAACACCUAUGGCGAAGGCAGCACUCUGGGACGGUACUGACGCUGAGACGCGAAAACGUGGGGAGCGAACAGG
Molecule: ribosomal RNA, 253 nt
Filed under: uncultured bacterium
Lineage: Bacteria
Description: partial 16S ribosomal RNA
Rfam family: Bacterial small subunit ribosomal RNA
Source: RNAcentral